Molecule: long non-coding RNA, 5058 nt
Filed under: Capsicum annuum
Lineage: Eukaryota; Viridiplantae; Streptophyta; Magnoliopsida; Solanales; Solanaceae
Description: long non-coding RNA (CANN_LNC017080)
Source: RNAcentral
CCCUACACAGAUUCUCUUCUUCAACUCUAUCUUUAAUUUUUAUCUUUUUCUCUCUCAAUCUUAUUUCUUCUUUAUUUUUUUUCAAUUCACAACUACUCCUCCCUUGUUGUGGUUGAUUAAAAUGAUUUUUCCAUGGUAGUUUUUGCAGAGAAAAAGAGAAAAGAUUAAGAAGUUGAAUCGACAUCGGUCAGAAAUUUUUUCGAUGAGACUUGUGAGAUUGAUCAAAUCUUAUUCCUCCCAUUGAUCAAAUCUUAUUCCUCCCAUCAUCAAACUCAUCAAGGUGAGCAUCAAUAUUUUAAUUUAUUUUUAUAUUUAUGUUCUUUCCAUGUUUUGCUCCAAAUUCAGUCGUUUAAUAUAUUUCUUGUAGAUAUAUCUUCUCUCUAUAAAAAUCCUCUUUCGAUUUGCUCAAAAUCAAUAACAGUAUAUUGAUAUAGAAUUUAGUAGUAGUGCAAGUACGAAUUUAUGGUGGUUUUUGUAACUUUGGAUGUCAGCAAUAGUGAUAUUGUGAUUCCGAUGGCAAUUUUAGAAGUGGAUGUUGAAUUUUAUGGUGAUUGUUUGUAAUUUUUGAGAUAUUAAUGAUUGUAUUGUGAUUUUGAUGAUAAAAUUCAUGGUGGAUUCUUAAAAUUAUUGUGGUGAAUAUUUAAUUUUGGUGUCAAUGUGGUGUUUUAAUGGUGAUUUUGGUGAAGAAGAAGCAAUGGGUGACAUGGGCUUUUUUUUAAUAAAAUUGACAUAAUAUCUGAUGUGGUAAUGAUAUGGCGAUGAUGUGGCAUGAGUGUAAAUCACUCUCCAUUAUGUGACUAGUUCUUUACGUUUUGGGGUGAAAAUAAAUUUACUUUUAUAUAGUAUGGCUGUGUAUUAGGUUGUGGUAAUAGUUUAAGUGUGUAAGUGACUUUUCGUGUAUAGUUUGAGGUGAAAACGAUGACUUAUCCCAAGAAAUAUUGAAGAGAGGUUAUUAGGCACAAUUUGGAGAAAUUAUAACUUAUGGAGGACAUGAACCUUGAUAAGAAGAUGUGGAGGACUCGGAUUAGGAUAAAGGGCUAGUGGGUAGUAGUUCGGCCACGAUAGUAGGGAUGAGUACUUGGUUUGUAUAUGCGCUUGGAGUUUCUUGCUCAUUGUGUUUCAAUGUUGUAUAUGAUUUUGAAUAGAUAGGUUCUUGUUUCCUUUAUUGUCUAGCAGUGUGUUAUCCCAUUUUGUUGUUUGCUUUUAUAUUUUUUAUUUGAUUAUUAUAAUGUUAGCUGUCAUGAGCCGGGAUUCUAUUGAAAACAACUUCUUUACUUCUUCUGAGGUAGUGGUAUGGACUGUGUACCCCACUUUGUGGGAAUACAGUGGGUAUAUUGUUGUUGUUGUUGUUGUUGUUGUUUCUCUUAUUCAGUUUCACCACAAAUCAUAGUAUUCUGUUAUUGCAAAAAAUUGAAAUUAAUUGCUAAAAUUUGAAAUUUAGUGCCUUUGUAAAUUCUAGAAGAAUGCUGCCAAAUUUCUAAAGCAAAUAUAAGUGGGAGACUUAAAUUCUUUAAAGACAGUGAAUACACUAUUAAAAUCAUUUUUUCUUAAAUCCGUGCAAAGUUUUUUCAAUAUUUGGUACCUGCAAUAAUUCCUGAAAAUUUUAGGAAUUAGAGAGAAAAUAGAGCCUUUGUCAAUUUAUUGUCUACUUUUUUCUUUUUACAGAAUAAUUGGUUGAGGAAACGUGGAGAAAAAAUAGCAAAAAGGGGGGUCAAUUUUGGUAAAAAAAAAAAAUCACAAAUCUAUUGUAUUUAAGACCUUAAAUUACAAUAAAUAAUUCUACAAUAUUUUAUUUACGAACAUACAAAAGUCUAGCUAUCCAACUCAUGAAAUCAGACAUGCUCCAUAAAAAGUGGGUACAAUAUCAUUCGGGAAAAUGCUUACAAAAUAUUGAAAUAAUUACUUUCUUAAAAAUCUUUUUAGCUUCCUUUUCUUUCUCCCAUUCUCUCUCUUCACAACUCUUUUAACCAUUUUAUUUGGCCUCUCUCUAUGUAAUGCUUGCCACCAUUUUAUUUACUUCUAAUCAUCUAGAAAAAAGUUAGACAUAAAUAUCCAGACCAUCUAUGUUUAAGCUGUAAUGGAGAAGACAAUAUUAUACCAGAUGUACAGUUAGAAUGAAGAUAAGGGACAAUCAAAGAAAAUAACGGAUGGAUGGAGUAAUGAAGUAAUGACAAACAAGAAACCAAGUAGAUAAGGACACAAGGAGAUAGAAAUGGACUACCAAUUGUAGGGGUGCGGAUAACUUACUAUUUCUGUUAAUCUUAUUUGCUCCAUAUCUUUUCUCCAAUAUUCUAAGUAUUCGUAGUUUAUCAUUUUAUCCUAUAGUAGUUGUGAUUUUAUAAAUUUUUGUGUAAUAACUUAUUUUAAUCAUACUAUAUUUGAUAUGUAAUUCUAUGUUAUCUAUGUGAUUCAUUAACAUUUGUUUUUCAUAUAUAAUAUUAUAUAAACUAUCAUUUGUAUCUCCUUUUUCUAAGGUUAAUUUUAUUCUAAAUAAUUUUUUCUUCUAAUUGUCUUUUUUCUCUUUUAAGCUGAUUCCUGUAUUUAAUUUCUUCAUAUAGCCAACUUUGUUUUUCUCCAACUACCAACUUUGUUUUUCUCCAACUCUUUUAAUAUAUUCUAACAUUUUUAAUCUAUAUAAUAUCCAUCUGAAUAAUAAUUAUCUAGGUAUGAAUAGUAGCUAUCGUCGUCAUAUAAGUGUAUUCGUUCUAAUUCAUCUUCUAUCCAAUUUUCAUCUUCAAUAUCAAAUACCGUUUGCCAUAUAAUUUUUUUUAUAUCUACUAUCUCUAUAUCCUUAAGUACAUAUAAAACAAGUAUCUUAAAUUCAUCUAUCAUUUCAUCAGGUAAAUAAUUAUUUAUUUUUCAUAUGAUGCUAUUUUUUAAAAUAUUCCUUCCAAUCAUAUACAUAACAAAAUAUGAUCAUCUUAGAUCACUAUAUACUAGAUUAUUCUAAAAUAACAUGUUCUUCGGUCACUAUUAGCAUGGUAAUCUGGAUAAUUUUUCCCUAAACAACGCCUCUAUUUUGGUUACUCCCCUAUCAUGGCUUCUUUGCCUCACCGGUUUCACCUUUAGGAUGGCAUAGAUCUUGGAAAUUUUUCUCCUUUUCCACUUUGCUAAUAAACUUCUUAAGAUGCUGAUCUUCGAAUAAUUUACUAUGAAGUAACUAAUAUGAGUUUAUUUCAUUAUAUCAUGAUUGUCAGGAAUUUAUGAAUUUAUCUAUUAAUAAUUAUAAAUGAAAAUACCUGUUCUAGUAGAUUUGAUAAAUCUGUGCAUUGUUCAUACAUAGAUUAGUGAAAAACGGAAUAUCUUUAUAGAUUAUAUGAGAGAAUAUUUUUUGUGUACAAGAAGGCUUGCUUUCCAUGUAGAAAUUCUUGCCUUAUCUUGGCAAUGACGUGCCUUUUUAUGAUCUACAAAACAGGUGAAUUAUUUUACACUAUUCCUACUUUAUACUAUUUAUAUACUAUUCCUACUUUACACUUGUACUAAUCUUUACAAAAUGUAGAAAAUAUCUUCACAAAAGUCAAAGUAGCUUUAAGAAAGAAAAGACUUAAAGCAACUUUAAAUUAAAUAGAAAGACUAAAAGCUUAAAUAAUUUACGUAACUUUAAUAAUGCACUUGUCCUUUUCUGAAUCUUCUUUAUCUUCUUAUUGACUUGUCCAUUUCUAUCUCCUUAUGUCCUUAUCUACUUGGUUUCUUCUUUGUCAUUACUUCAUUGCUCCAUCCAUCCGCUAUUUGCUUUGAUUAUCCCUUAUCUUCAUUCUAACUUCCCUUAUCUUCAUUCUAACUUUACAUCUGGUAGAAUAUUGUCUUUUCUAUUACACCUUGAACAUAGAUGGUCUGGAUAUUUAUGUCCAAUUAACUUGCAAUAUCUAGUCAAUAAUUCUUCUGAAAUAUAUUAUUCUUUAAUGGCUCUGGUAGUUGGUUGCCUUGCUGGAUUAAGUAAUUUCAUAAUCCAUCUUUAAAUUUCCUCUGUAUCUACUUGUCUUAACUCUCUUGAAUUUGAAUAAAUCAUUAGUUGGUCUCUUGAAUAGUAACUUCAAAUUGGGUUCCCAUUUAAGUAAUUAUUUGCUAACACUUGGAUGAUUGUGGAUAUUCCAAUAAUUCUUUUAUUUGCGUAAAAAUCUGAUAUACUUAUUUUUGGUAUUUAUGCCUAUGGUUCAAUAUCUUCUGGUAUGAUCAUAUCUUUUGUCAUUCCUAUUUUCAUGACUUGUAUAACUGGUUUAAUCUCAUUAUACAAUAUCUCUACUGGUGUUCUAUAAAACUUUAUAAAAAAUAAGUUGCCUUUGGUUAUUCUUUUGUAAGUGGUAAUUGCUUUAUAUAUCUCUGGUAUAGCUGCUAACUAACUUUCGUCUUGGGUAUAUAUGGUGUUAAGUAAUCCAUAACUGAAGAAUGUUCUAACUAGAUUUAGGUUAGUUUUUGGUAAUGCAAUUAACUUAUUAUAUCUUUGUAAUUUUUGGGUUAUGUAAUCUGUAUUUGGUUCUUGAAUAUUUAUUGCUCUGGGUCUAAGGUUUAAAUGUGUUUGUAUUUUGUGGAUGUUUUCGAUAUAUGAUCUGGUUAUAUGAUUAUAGGCUUUCUUUUCUUGGUUUAGACUUCUAGAUAUGUGGUAGUUUGUGGGGGUAUAAACAAAGGGUCUUUUGGUGUUUUUGGUAUAAAUGGCUUUUCAAAUAUUUUGUUCAAGUUCAUAUUUGGGUUCCUUCUAACUCCUUUGCUUGUACUUACAGAAGUAGAUUGGUAAACAUUAUGGGUUUUUCGGAGUGUGCCAACGUCUCCUUUUAUCUCUUGAAUUUUACUGUCUUUCGAUCGACAUUUCUCUGCACACUGCUGAGUUAUAUGAGCCAUAGCUUCAGACUUCAGUUUCACUUCAUUAGUCUUUAGCUUUUCUAUCUCAUUUCCCAAACUAUCCACUUUCAGUGAAAGCGUAGUUAGGGUUUUGAGUAUCUUUUCUAGAGCAUCGUCUUCUGUAAUAUAAAUUUGGGUAGCUUUGUCUUGAUAUGUAAUCUGUAAUAACAUUCUUGUUAGUCUUGAUUACUUCAAUUUUAAAUGUAAAAUUUAAUAUAUUCA